Molecule: ribosomal RNA, 253 nt
Filed under: uncultured bacterium
Lineage: Bacteria
Description: partial 16S ribosomal RNA
Rfam family: Bacterial small subunit ribosomal RNA
Source: RNAcentral
UACGUAGGGGGCAAGCGUUGUCCGGAAUUACUGGGCGUAAAGCGCGCGUAGGCGGUCCGCCAAGUCCGGCGUGAAAUCUCCAGGCUCAACUUGGAGGGGUCGUCGAAGACUGACGGACUAGGGUCUGGCAGAGGCAGGUAGAAUUCCCGGUGGAGCGGUGAAAUGCGUAGAGAUCGGGAGGAAUACCAGUGGCGAAGGCGGCCUGCUGGGCCGCGACCGACGCUGAGGUGCGAAAGCGUGGGGAGCGAACCGG